CAAAAACAGCUCCAAGUAGGAAGAGAAUGACCCAUGUGCUUUUCCAUAGCUUUUUAGUUAUUCUGUACAAAUAUCCAGGACGUCAUUUGAUUUUCACUUUUAGUCAUGAGUGCAGCUGUUCCAAAGCUUAUUGAAAUAUGUACUGACCUUCCUUCCAAAUGUAUUUCACUAUCUGUUAAAAAUAUCCAGAUACAGAUCUAUAUGAUAUUGUUCACUUUUGCAUUAUUCUUUCAAGUAUAUUCUCAUUGUUCCUGGUCUGUUAUGUGAAAUGUGUAAGUAGUAUUAAUAAACAUGCUUGAGAGGUCAUGUUACAUAUAUAUAUAU
Molecule: long non-coding RNA, 324 nt
Filed under: Bos taurus (domestic cattle)
Lineage: Eukaryota; Metazoa; Chordata; Mammalia; Artiodactyla; Bovidae
Description: long non-coding RNA NONBTAT025069
Source: RNAcentral